AACGCACCUUGCACCCUUUGGUAUUCCGAAGGGUACGCCCGUUUGAGAGUCAUUGUAAUCUCACCCCGGAAAUUUAUUUUUCGGGCGUGGACUUGGACGUUGCCGUGUCACGGCUCGUCUCGAACGUCUCAGUGUGACCGCUCGUAGGCGUCUACAGUGUGAUAGGUAUCUUCACUGUGUAGUCUCUUCGGAGGCGCGCCCUCGGACUCUGUCCACGCUGCCAACCGUCCUCGGACAAUACUCUGACGAUUUGACCUCAAAUCGGGUGGGACUACCCGCUGAACUUAA
Molecule: unclassified non-coding RNA, 288 nt
Filed under: uncultured Sebacinales
Lineage: Eukaryota; Fungi; Basidiomycota; Agaricomycetes; Sebacinales
Description: sequence contains 5.8S rRNA gene, ITS2, 28S rRNA gene
Source: RNAcentral